GUCCACGCCGUAAACGAUGAGUGCUAGUCGCCGGAGGAUUGACCCCGUCGGUGACGAAGCUAACGCGUUAAGCACUCCGCCUGGUGAGUACGGUCGCAAGACUAAAACUCAAAGGAAUUGACGGGGGCCCCGCACAAGCGGUGGAGCAUGUGGUUUAAUUCGACGCAACGCGCAGAACCUUACCUGGGUUAAAUCCGCCAGAAUCCGGCCCAAAAGCUGGAGUGCCCUUCGGGGAAUUGGUGCGAAGGUGCUGCAUGGCUGUCGU
This 265-nucleotide ribosomal RNA is filed under the name uncultured bacterium. Its description in RNAcentral is "partial 16S ribosomal RNA". It matches the Rfam family "Bacterial small subunit ribosomal RNA", at positions 793 to 1055 of the family's 1533-position model. The record is from RNAcentral.